RNAcentral lists this transfer RNA (75 nucleotides) under Bacillota bacterium. RNAcentral's name for it is "tRNA-Met". It matches the Rfam family "tRNA". From Rfam's summary of the family: Transfer RNA (tRNA) molecules are approximately 80 nucleotides in length. Their secondary structure includes four short double-helical elements and three loops (D, anti-codon, and T loops). The record is from RNAcentral. Lineage: Bacteria; Bacillati; Bacillota.
CGCGGGGUAGCGUAGUGGUCACGCGACAGGUUCAUACCCUGUAUUACGCCGGUUCGAACCCGGCCCCCGCAUCCA